RNAcentral lists this ribosomal RNA (235 nucleotides) under Liposcelis corrodens. RNAcentral describes it as "partial 12S ribosomal RNA". Lineage: Eukaryota; Metazoa; Arthropoda; Insecta; Psocodea; Liposcelididae. The record is from RNAcentral.
UAGUUUCACAUUUUUUAUAUCGCCGUCUAAAUGAGAGAUAGACACUUUUCUUUAGUAAAAUUUUUAAAUUAAUAAGUCAGGUAAAGAUGAAGAUUACAGAAAAGUAAACUUGUAAAUCAGAAAAUCUUAAGUGAAAAUGGACUUGAAAAAGACUAAAAAUGAAUUUAAAAGUAAAAAAAUUUGAUUAUAAUUUUUUGAAAAUUGUAAAUGAAAGUGUACACAUCGCCCGUCGCUC